AUUGAACGCUGGCGGCAGGCCUAACACAUGCAAGUCGAGCGGAUGAAGGGAGCUUGCUCCUGGAUUCAGCGGCGGACGGGUGAGUAAUGCCUAGGAAUCUGCCUGGUAGUGGGGGAUAACGUCUGGAAACGGGCGCUAAUACCGCAUACGUCCUGAGGGAGAAAGUGGGGGAUCUUCGGACCUCACGCUAUCAGAUGAGCCUAGGUCGGAUUAGCUAGUUGGUGGGGUAAAGGCCUACCAAGGCGACGAUCCGUAACUGGUCUGAGAGGAUGAUCAGUCACACUGGAACUGAGACACGGUCCAGACUCCUACGGGAGGCAGCGGUGGGGAAUAUUGGACAAUGGGCGAAAUCCUGAUCCAGCCAUGCCGCGUGUGUGAAGAAGGUCUUCGGAUGGUAAAGCACUUUAAGUGGGGAGGAAGGGCAGUAAGUUAAUACCUUGCUGUUGUGACGGUACCAACAGAAUAAGCACCGGCUAACUUCGUG
Molecule: ribosomal RNA, 484 nt
Filed under: uncultured bacterium
Lineage: Bacteria
Description: partial 16S ribosomal RNA
Rfam family: Bacterial small subunit ribosomal RNA
Source: RNAcentral